Molecule: ribosomal RNA, 87 nt
Filed under: Methylobacterium dankookense
Lineage: Bacteria; Pseudomonadati; Pseudomonadota; Alphaproteobacteria; Hyphomicrobiales; Methylobacteriaceae
Also listed under: 1 other name
Source: RNAcentral
AACCCGAUCCCAUCUCGAACUCGGCCGUUAAACGCACCAGCGCCCAUGGUACUGUGUCUCAAGACACGGGAGAGUCGGUCGCCGCCA